UACGGGGGGGGCAAGCGUUGUUCGGAAUUACUGGGCGUAAAGGGCUCGUAGGCGGCCUACUAAGUCGGACGUGAAAUCCCCAGGCUCAACCUGGGAACUGCGUCCGAUACUGGAUGGCUUGAAUCCGGGAGAGGGAUGUGGAAUUCCAGGUGUAGCGGUGAAAUGCGUAGAUAUCUGGAGGAACACCGGUGGCGAAGGCGGCAUCCUGGACCGGCAUUGACGCUGAGGCGCGAAAGCCAGGGGAGCAAACGGG
This 253-nucleotide ribosomal RNA is filed under the name uncultured bacterium. Its description in RNAcentral is "partial 16S ribosomal RNA". It matches the Rfam family "Bacterial small subunit ribosomal RNA", at positions 524 to 776 of the family's 1533-position model. The record is from RNAcentral.